AUUGAACGCUGGCGGCAGGCCUAACACAUGCAAGUCGAGCGGAUGAAGGGAGCUUGCUCCUGUAUUCAGCGGCGGACGGGUGAGUAAUGCCUAGGAAUCUGCCUGGUAGUGGGGGAUAACGUCCGGAAACGGGCGCUAAUACCGCAUACGUCCUGAGGGAGAAAGUGUGGGAUCUUCGGACCUCACGCUAUCAGAUGAGCCUAGGUCGGAUUAGCUAGUUGGUGGGGUAAAGGCCUACCAAGGCGACGAUCCGUAACUGGUCUGAGAGGAUGAUCAGUCACACUGGAACUGAGAAACGGUCCAGACUCCUACGGGAGGCAGCAGUGGGGAAUAUUGGCCAAUGGGCGAAAGCCUGAUCCAGCCAUGCCGCGUGUGUGAAGAAGGUCUUCGGAUUGUAAAGCACUUUAGGUUGGGAGGAAGGGCAGUAAGUUAAUACCUUGCUGUUUUGACGUUACCAACAGAAUAAGCACCGGCUAACUUCGUG
Molecule: ribosomal RNA, 484 nt
Filed under: uncultured bacterium
Lineage: Bacteria
Description: partial 16S ribosomal RNA
Rfam family: Bacterial small subunit ribosomal RNA
Source: RNAcentral